RNAcentral lists this ribosomal RNA (460 nucleotides) under uncultured bacterium. Its description in RNAcentral is "partial 16S ribosomal RNA". It matches the Rfam family "Bacterial small subunit ribosomal RNA", at positions 338 to 795 of the family's 1533-position model. The record is from RNAcentral.
CCUACGGGUGGCUGCAGUGAGGAAUAUUGGUCAAUGGCCGGAAGGCUGAACCAGCCAUGCCGCGUGAAGGUCAGUGCCCCUUGGGCGUUAAACUUCCUUUGUGCGGGAGCAAUAAUGGUCACGUGUGGCCAGACGAGAGUACCGUACGAAUAAGCAUCGGCUAACCUCGUGCCAGCAGCCGCGGUAAUACGGGGGAAGCAAGCGUUAUUCGGAUUUAUUGGGUUUAAAGGGUGCGUAGGCUGUAGGGUAAGUCAGCGGUGAAAUGCCCCGGCUCAACGGGGUGAAGUGCCAUUGAUACUGCCUUGCUAGAGAGCGGAUGCCGUAGGAGGAAUGUGUGGUGUAGCGGUGAAAUGCAUAGAUAUCACACAGAACACCGAUUGCGAAGGCAUCUCACGAAUCCGCGAUUGACGCUGAUGCACGAAAGCGUGGGUAUCAAACAGGAUUAGAUACCCGAGUAGUC